GAGGUACAGCCCCGUGGUGGAGGCCGGCUCGGACAUGGUCUUCCGGUGGACCAUCAACGACAAGCAGUCCCUGACCUUCCAGAACGUGGUCUUCAAUGUCAUUUAUCAGAGCGCGGCGGUCUUCAAGCUCUCACCCGAGGACGCUGCCAUGGCUGUGGGUGAGUGGAGGGAGGGACGCCAAGCAGGGGCAGGCCUCUCACCUGCCACCUGGGCCCACUGACGCCUGUCCCUGCAGCUGACGGCCUCCAACCACGUGAGCAACGUCACCGUGAACUACAACGUCACCGUGGAGCGGAUGAACAGGAUGCAGGGCCUGCGGGUCUCCACAGUGCCGGCCGUGCUGUCCCCCAAUGCCACGCUGGCACUGACGGCGGGCGUGGUGGUGGACUCGGCCGUGGAGGUGGCCUUCCUGUGGACCUUUGGGGAUGGGGAGCAGGCUCUCCACCAGUUCCAGCCUCCGUACAACGAGUCCUUCCCGGUUCCAGACCCCUCGGUGGCCCAGGUGCUGGUGGAGCACAAUGUCACGCACACCUACGCUGCCCCAGGUGCUGAUCCGGAGUGGCCGGGUGCCCAUUGUGUCCUUGGAGUGUGUGUCCUGCAAGGCACAGGCCGUGUACGAAGUGAGCCGCAGCUCCUACGUGUACCUGGAGGGCCGCUGCCUCAAUUGCAGCAGUGGCUCCAAGCGAGGGCGGUGGGCUGCACGUACGUUCAGCAACAAGACGCUGGUGCUGGAUGAGACCACCACGUCCACGGGCAGCGCAGGCAUGCGACUGGUGCUGCGGCGGGGCGUGCUGCGGGACGGCGAGGGAUACACCUUCACGCUCACGGUGCUGGGCCGCUCUGGCGAGGAGGAGGGCUGCGCCUCCAUCCGCCUGUCCCCCAACCGCCCGCCGCUGGGGGGCUCUUGCCGCCUCUUCCCACUGGGCGCUGUGCACGCCCUCACUACCAAGGUGCACUUCGAAUGCACGGGUUGGCAUGACGCGGAGGAUGCUGGCGCCCCGCUGGUGUACGCCCUGCUGCUGCGGCGCUGUCGCCAGGGCCACUGCGAGGAGUUCUGUGUCUACAAGGGCAGCCUCUCCGGCUACGGAGCUGUGCUGCCCCGGGUUUCAGGCCACACUUCGAGGUGGGCCUGGCCGUGGUGGUGCAGGACCAGCUGGGAGCCGCUGUGGUCGCCCUCAACAGGUGAGCCAGGCCGUGGGAGGGCGCCCCCGAGACUGCCACCUGCUCACCACCCCCCUCUGCUUGUAGGUCUCUGGCCAUCACCCUCCAGAGCCUAACGGCAGUGUAACGGGGCUCACAGUCUGGCUGCACGGGCUCACCGCUAGUGUGCUCCCGGGGCUGCUGCGGCAGGCCGAUCCCCAGCACGUCAUCGAGUACUCGCUGGCCCUGGUCACCGUGCUGAACGAGUACGAGCAGGCCCUGGACGUGGCGGCAGAGGCCAAGCACGAGCGGCAGCGCCGAGCCCAGAUACGCAAGAACAUCACGGAGACUCUGGUGUUCCCUGCGGGUCCACACUGUGGAUGACAUCCAGCAGAUCGCUGCUGCGCUGGCCCAGUGCAUG
RNAcentral lists this small RNA (1561 nucleotides) under Pan troglodytes (chimpanzee). RNAcentral's name for it is "processed transcript". The record is from RNAcentral. Lineage: Eukaryota; Metazoa; Chordata; Mammalia; Primates; Hominidae.